RNAcentral lists this ribosomal RNA (783 nucleotides) under uncultured Gemmatimonas sp. Its description in RNAcentral is "bacterial SSU rRNA". It matches the Rfam family "Bacterial small subunit ribosomal RNA", at positions 8 to 796 of the family's 1533-position model. Lineage: Bacteria; Pseudomonadati; Gemmatimonadota; Gemmatimonadia; Gemmatimonadales; Gemmatimonadaceae. The record is from RNAcentral.
AGAGUUUGAUCAUGGCUCAGGACGAACGCUGGCGGCGUGCCUAACACAUGCAAGUCGAACGGGACCGGGGGCAACUCCGGUUCAGUGGCGGACGGGUGCGUAACACGUGAGGAACAUGACCUUCGGCGGGGGAUAGCCGGCCCAACGGCCGGGUAAUACCGCGUACGACCUUUCGGGGACAUCCCUGGAUGGUGAAAGCAGCAAUGCGCCGAUGGAGUGCCUCGCGGCCUAUCAGCUAGUUGGUGGGGUAACGGCCUACCAAGGCAACGACGGGUAGCUGGUCUGAGAGGAUGGCCAGCCACAUUGGGACUGAGACACGGCCCAGACUCCUACGGGAGGCAGCAGUGGGGAAUAUUGCGCAAUGGACGAAAGUCUGACGCAGCGACGCCGCGUGUGGGAUGACGGUCUUCGGAUUGUAAACCACUGUCGGGAGGGACGAAUACGCCGCAAGGCGGGUGACGGUACCUCCAAAGGAAGCACCGGCUAACUCCGUGCCAGCAGCCGCGGUAAUACGGAGGGUGCGAGCGUUGUCCGGAAUCACUGGGCGUAAAGGGCGCGUAGGCGGCCUGAUAAGUAGGGGGUGAAAUCCUGCGGCUUAACCGCAGGGCUGCCUUCUAAACUGUCAGGCUCGAGCACAGUAGAGGCAGGUGGAAUUCCCGGUGUAGCGGUGGAAUGCGUAGAGAUCGGGAGGAACACCUGCGGUGUAGACGGCUUACUGGACCAUAACUGACGCUGAGGCACGAAAGCGUGGGUAGCAAACAGGAUUAGAUACCCCAGUAGUCC